This 468-nucleotide ribosomal RNA is filed under the name uncultured bacterium. RNAcentral describes it as "partial 16S ribosomal RNA". It matches the Rfam family "Bacterial small subunit ribosomal RNA", at positions 28 to 507 of the family's 1533-position model. The record is from RNAcentral.
GACGAACGCUGGCGGCGUGCUUAACACAUGCAAGUCGAACGGAAAGUCCCUGCUUUUGUGGGGUGCUCGAGUGGCGAACGGGUGAGUAACACGUGAGUAACCUCCCCUUGACUUUGGGAUAACUUCAGGAAACUGGGGCUAAUACCGGAUAGGAGCUCCUGCUGCAUGGUGGGGGUUGGAAAGUUUCGGCGGUUGGGGAUGGACUGGCGUCUUAUCAGCUUGUUGGUGGGGUAGUGGCUUACCAAGGCUUUGACGGGUAGCCGGGCUGAGAGGGUGACCGGCCACAUUGGGACUGGGAUACGGCCCAGACUCCUAAGGGAGGCAGGGGUGGGGAAUAUUGCACAAUGGGCGGAAGCCAGAUGCAACAACGCCGCGUGCGGGAAGACGGCCUUCAGGUUGGAAACCGCUUUCGCCUGUGACGAGGCGAAAGUGACGGUAAUGGGUAAAGAAGCACCGGCUAACUACGUG